GCCUAGGAUAGCAGAGUCGGUAGGGCGUGAGACUGUUAAUCUCAGGGCUGUGGCUUCAAGGCUUGCAUUGGGCA
Podarcis lilfordi (Lilford's wall lizard) is the source of this 74-nucleotide non-coding RNA. NCBI's taxonomy places the organism in Eukaryota, Metazoa, Chordata, Lepidosauria, Squamata, Lacertidae. The record is from the annotation of a GenBank genome assembly.